RNAcentral lists this ribosomal RNA (719 nucleotides) under uncultured Bacteroidales bacterium. Its description in RNAcentral is "bacterial SSU rRNA". It matches the Rfam family "Bacterial small subunit ribosomal RNA", at positions 28 to 736 of the family's 1533-position model. Lineage: Bacteria; Pseudomonadati; Bacteroidota; Bacteroidia; Bacteroidales. The record is from RNAcentral.
GAUGAACGCUAGCUACAGGCUUAACACAUGCAAGUCGAGGGGCAGCAUGGUCUUAGCUUGCUAAGGCCGAUGGCGACCGGCGCACGGGUGAGUAACACGUAUCCAACCUGCCGUCUACUCUUGGACAGCCUUCUGAAAGGAAGAUUAAUACAAGAUGGCAUCAUGAGUCCACAUGUUCACAUGAUUAGAGGUAUUCCGGUAGACGAUGGGGAUGCGUUCCAUUAGAUAGUAGGCGGGGUAACGGCCCACCUAGUCUUCGAUGGAUAGGGGUUCUGAGAGGAAGGUCCCCCACAUUGGAACUGAGACACGGUCCAAACUCCUACGGGAGGCAGCAGUGAGGAAUAUUGGUCAAUGGGCGAGAGCCUGAACCAGCCAAGUAGCGUGAAGGAUGACUGCCCUAUGGGUUGUAAACUUCUUUUAUAAAGGAAUAAAGUCGGGUAUGUAUACCCGUUUGCAUGUACUUUAUGAAUAAGGAUCGGCUAACUCCGUGCCAGCAGCCGCGGUAAUACGGAGGAUCCGAGCGUUAUCCGGAUUUAUUGGGUUUAAAGGGAGCGUAGAUGGAUGUUUAAGUCAGUUGUGAAAGUUUGCGGCUCAACCGUAAAAUUGCAGUUGAUACUGGAUAUCUUGAGUGCAGUUGAGGCAGGCGGAAUUCGUGGUGUAGCGGUGAAAUGCUUAGAUAUCACGAAGAACUCCGAUUGCGAAGGCGGCCUGCUAAGCUG